AGAAUCAACGCUGGCGGCGUGCCUAACACAUGCAAGUCGAACGAGAAAGCGGGGGUAACUCCGUGAGUAAAGUGGCGUACGGGUGAGUAACACGUAGCUAACCUACCCUCGAGUGAGGAAUAACCUGGGGAAACUCGGGCUAAUACCCCAUAAUAUCCGGAUUGCGCAAGCAGUCUGGAGCAAAGGCCCGCAAGGGCCGCUUGAGGAGGGGGCUGCGGCCGAUUAGCUAGUUGGUGAGGUAACGGCCCACCAAGGCGAUGAUCGGUAGCCGGCCUGAGAGGGCGCACGGCCACACUGGCACUGAAACACGGGCCAGACUCCUACGGGAGGCAGCAGUGGGGAAUUUUGCACAAUGUCCGAAAGGGUGAUGCAGCAACGCCGCGUGAGGGAUGAAGGUCCUCGGAUCGUAAACCUCUUUCGACCGGGAAAACGGGCGGGUGAAUAAUCCGUCCUGAUGGUACCGGUGGAAGAAGCCCCGGCUAACUACGCGCCAGCAGCCGCGGU
This 504-nucleotide ribosomal RNA is filed under the name uncultured bacterium. RNAcentral's name for it is "SSU rRNA". It matches the Rfam family "Bacterial small subunit ribosomal RNA", at positions 26 to 521 of the family's 1533-position model. The record is from RNAcentral.